AGAAAAGCAGAAAGUAACCAAAAAAAUCGUUUCUAAGCAUGAUAAACUUUUUUAUUCUUUCAGAGUACCAUAGGCGAAAGAGGGUUGUGAUUUGUUUAUGCUAAAGGGACUUGGAUUUUUCUUGUUUUACCGUCCGACUAGGACCGUAAAACUUACAGCCCCCUCACUGAGGUGGGGACCGAGCCACUUUAUUAUUGGCGCAGGGUGGCACGGCCCCUCAUGUGGGGGAGUUGUGAGCCAUGCUGUGUGUAACUUUCCCUUUUCUUGAAGUAUAGUCCUUGUUUGGUUUUCAUUACAUUACAUUACAUUCUAUUUAUCUCUCUCUUAUUUUCAACCACAUAAUCUUCCAUAAAAUAAUAUUACACGUAAAUCGAAAAUUUUUCUUUCUUUUUCAACCACUCAUUUUUCAAAAAACACUAUUCUAUACAUUACAUUUUCCCCGUAAUGGGGGCCAAACAGGGGCAUAAUGGGGGCCAAACAGGGGCAUAAUAUCUUUUCUUUACCGAGAACCUUCCGUCAAGCACUAAAAUGAGGGAUUAAUUGCAAGUAACAUGCUCCAUACUUGUUCACAUGGCUUGACUAAAAAGUUGAUGGGUUCUUACCUUACAUGAGAUGAGUUGGAACAAUGUGUCAGUGAUUGCACAAAUUAUUUUUCAAGUCAGAGGCGUUUUGAUGGGCAAAUAUUAUAUUAAUUUGUGGUUUACCAGCAUCAGAGGAGGAAAAAAACAAAAGGCACAGCACCCUUACACCUUUUAAGAUUUGGGGUCCGUCUUAAUAAGGUCAACCUUGUUAAGAGGAGUGUCCCAAUCCUUUAUAUAUUGGUCAUUGUUUCGGUAUUUUACCGAUGUGGGAUUAUAUUCCCUUAACAUGCCCCCGCAAGAUGGUGGCUCUUUUGAGCAGACCAAUCUUGAAAUCCGUGUGCUCAUUUUUAGAGACAUAAUCGGAUCGAAUCGCUCGUUGGAGCUUAAUGGGCUCUGAUACCAUUUUAAGAUUUGGGGUCCGUCUUAAUAAGGUCAACCUUGUUAAGAGGAGUGUCCCAAUCCUUUAUAUAUUGGUCAUUGUUUCGAUAUUUUACCGAUGUGGGAUUAUAUUCCCUUAACAACACCCCCUUACGUGAGGGGCUCCUGUACCUUGUAAUGUACAAGGAGAAAAACCCAAAAAAAAAAAAAAUUAAAAAAAAUGCAGAGAAACGAAGUUACAUUUCAGAUUAAUUACACUAGCAGUCACUGUACUUUGACCCAAUUUUCAAUUAAGUUGCUAUACUGCAUUUUGUGUCAAUUGGGUCAUUAUAAUCCCCCCCCCCCCCCCCCCCCCCCUCCGCCGGGGUAACUCGGUCAUUUUGGGUCAAUAUACUGUAAUUUUGUCUCUAUUUAGGCCAAUUCGUUCAAUUAAAUCAAAUUGUUUGAUGCCAAAAAUGAACUGAAAGAAAUGAUACAAUUUGACGCAAUUGAACAAAGUUUGGCCUAAAUUUAAUCUCAAGUACCGUGACCGCGAAUAAUAGAACUAACCCAAUAUUUCUUGAAGGAACUUAUAUAAAGAAGUUUUCGUUUGAGACAAGACAUGGCAUAUUACAUGUAAAAUAUCUACUUGUAAAAUAUCUGGUUUGAUAAGGAAUAAUACUGUUUGAAAUAGAUGACAAAGGGCAGUGGUUAUAGGAUGGAGAUUGCUGAGGUCUUUGUCUUGCUUUUUCAAGGGUUUCAGAAGAUCCAUAAUGAUUUUAUACGAUAGCAUUUCUUUUCACGUGUGGAUUAUUAAUUUCAUGUUUAUUCUCUUCAUUAAUUUAUUAAUAAUAUAAUAACAAGACAAUUUGAACGGUAUACUAUUCACUCCACUAUGUAGGAUCAAUCACUACUUUAUGUGGUUGGAAUAUGGUCUGUCAUCACAUGUUGGUUCAAGAGAUUAUGCUUUCCACAAAUUAGGGGCCCCUCAUUAACAUUGAAUUGAUUUAUUUGUUUCUAGCAAAAACAUGUCGACGGCGUACUCAUCUCCACAAAUUAAGUUCCCUAGUCAACAUUCAAUACUAUUUUUGUCGUCGUGUCAAGACGGAAGCUUUAGGUUUGCGGGCGCUUUUGGCUUUUUUCAUAAUGGAAUACUUUUCGCAAUAUUACCUUUGUAUUUUUUAUUCUUACCCCUUUUUUGUGAUAUUUCUAACCCAACACCCAUCAUUGACAUACACCCGCUUUGAUACUAUGAUGAAGUCUAUGGUUUGGCUUAUAAUGCUUUCUCUACAUUGCACAUCUGAAUUG
Molecule: long non-coding RNA, 2246 nt
Filed under: Olea europaea (common olive)
Lineage: Eukaryota; Viridiplantae; Streptophyta; Magnoliopsida; Lamiales; Oleaceae
Description: long non-coding RNA (OEUR_LNC007704)
Source: RNAcentral